GAACCUGCCUCAAAGAGGGGGACAACAGUUGGAAACGACUGCUAAUACCGCAUAAGCCCACGGGUCGGCAUCGACCAGAGGGAAAAGGAGCAAUCCGCUUUGAGAUGGCCUCGCGUCCGAUUAGCUAGUUGGUGAGGUAACGGCCCACCAAGGCAACGAUCGGUAGCCGGACUGAGAGGUUGAACGGCCACAUUGGGACUGAGACACGGCCCAGACUCCUACGGGAGGCAGCAGUGGGGAAUAUUGCACAAUGGGGGAAACCCUGAUGCAGCGACGCCGCGUGGAGGAAGAAGGUCUUCGGAUUGUAAACUCCUGUUGUUGAGGAAGAUAAUGACGGUACUCAACAAGGAAGUGACGGCUAACUACGUGCCAGCAGCCGCGGUAAAACGUAGGUCACAAGCGUUGUCCGGAAUUACUGGGUGUAAAGGGAGCGCAGGCGGGAAGACAAGUUGGAAGUGAAAUCUAUGGGCUCAACCCAUAAACUGCUUUCAAAACUGUUUUUCUUGAGUAGUGCAGAGGUAGGCGGAAUUCCCGGUGUAGCGGUGGAAUGCGUAGAUAUCGGGAGGAACACCAGUGGCGAAGGCGGCCUACUGGGCACCAACUGACGCUGAGGCUCGAAAGUGUGGGUAGCAAACAGGAUUAGAUACCCUGGUAGUCCACACCGUAAACGAUGAUUACUAGGUG
Molecule: ribosomal RNA, 684 nt
Filed under: uncultured bacterium
Lineage: Bacteria
Description: bacterial SSU rRNA
Rfam family: Bacterial small subunit ribosomal RNA
Source: RNAcentral